ACUCUCAACCAAUCAGAAAAAGGGGUAGAUUCAUCUUCUUCAACACCCACAUAACAACAACAGGCCCUCUUCUCUCUUAAUCUAUACUUCAAACACACACACACAUGAAAUCAAAAUCUUGAUCAUCUUUCUCUCAACAUAGCAGACACCCUAACACCCUUGAAACAUCCCAGCCGCACCCCCUUUCCCUCUCCGUCGCGUUUUCGAACUAGCGACACACAGGGAGGAGCCGGAGACGACAGUGGUAGCUGGCCACCGUGAGUGGUGGUCCUGCGAAGGUACGACGGUGGCGGCAUAGACCCGACGGGUCAGAAUUUCAAAGGAAACCACCACCACAGCAGCCGCGCUGUGGUGGAUGGCGUCGGGUGGUUGUAUCGGACGAAAGAGGGGGAGAAAGUGACGAGAGAAUGAGAGAGAGAGAGAAAGAGAGACCGGGGAGGUAAAGGGGAAGCCGACAGCUCCGGCACCGCUGCUCACGGCGGCGGCUUGACGAUGAUGGCGGUGGAGAUGUUUCCCUUCGACGUUUUUCCUGACAAACACCGGUAAGCACCCAUCCCUCUUCCCCAUUUUCUUUUAUUUUUCUGAAGAAUUGAUGAUGAUGAUUUGCUGUUGUCGAUGGUGCUGAUGAUUUGUUGUUCAAGAUGAUGAUGAUGAUGUCAGUUUAGAAAAAUGAAGUGUGGGUAAGCAGUCAACGGACCCGGUUCGGGUCAGCAGCAGUCAAACAAGUCAAAGAUGGUCAACUGAGGACCAGUAUAGUUUAAACGUAGCGAGUUAUUAUUACGUUAGUUUAGAUUUUAUUUAGUGAACGCCCACCGAGCUCGAACCGAUACUUUAAUGACUUGUUACGUUUGGCAUAUUGAUAUAAAUUUUAUAUAUUGUGUUUAUAUUGUUGAAAAUUGUUGAGUUUUGAAAAGAUAACGACAACUUGAGUGGUCGGUUUAUUCCAAAAACAGAGGAAACUCUGUCCGUUUUCCGUAAAAACGUAAAACGUAAAUAGUUUAACAUAAAACGUAAAAACGUAAAACGUAAAA
This 1031-nucleotide long non-coding RNA is filed under the name Helianthus annuus (common sunflower). Its description in RNAcentral is "hypothetical non coding rna". Lineage: Eukaryota; Viridiplantae; Streptophyta; Magnoliopsida; Asterales; Asteraceae. The record is from RNAcentral.